AACGAACGCUGGCGGCGUGCUUAACACAUGCAAGUCGAACGUGAUUGGAAGCUUGCUUCCAUGAAAGUGGCGCACGGGUGAGUAACGCGUGGAUAACCUGCCCUGGUAUCCGGAAUAACAUCUCGAAAGGGGUGCUAAUACCGGAUAAGACCACGGGAUCCUUGGAUUCUGCGGGAAAAGGUGGGGACCUUCGGGCCUACCGUCAUUGGAUGAGUCCGCGUACCAUUAGCUAGUUGGUAGGGUAAUGGCCUACCAAGGCUACGAUGGUUAGCUGGUCUGAGAGGAUGAUCAGCCACACUGGAACUGAGACACGGUCCAGACUCCUACGGGAGGCAGCAGUGGGGAAUUUUGCGCAAUGGGGGAAACCCUGACGCAGCAACGCCGCGUGAGUGAUGAAGGCCUUCGGGUCGUAAAGCUCUGUCAGAGGGGAAGAAGUGCAGUGGUGCUAAUAUCGCCAUUGUUUGACGGUACCCUCAAAGGAAGCACCGGCUAACUCCGUGCCAGCCGCCGCCGUAA
This 516-nucleotide ribosomal RNA is filed under the name uncultured bacterium. RNAcentral describes it as "partial 16S ribosomal RNA". It matches the Rfam family "Bacterial small subunit ribosomal RNA", at positions 29 to 523 of the family's 1533-position model. The record is from RNAcentral.